CAGCUGCACCAAAAUGCUACAUUAACCAACCCACUGCGGAGCGCUUGCGGGAGCCCCAGACAACGUUUUACUAACUGUUUAAACUUGUCGCUUGAGAACCUGGGCAACGAGACAGGAGCAGCAGCAGUGUAGAUGUACCCAAAGUCUGCAGCAGAUCACAGAGCUCAACUCUGCACAAGCCUUUACGGAGCUUGCUCGUCUUCUCCCUUCCCUGGCUGCAGGAAACUACUUGGGGUAUUUUUUCCUCUCAGACUUUUGCAUGCAUCAUUGUCAGAAGAUCAGUAUCACAAGCACUUCAUGACAGUCUCAGAAGACAAUGCUACUAUAUAUGACUUCUAAGCUCAAAUGAGGAACCUUUUUCUGGAGAAAGUUGCACGGAAUACUUAAUAGCAAACACUCAAGUAACAAGAGAAUCAGGGAUGGCUUCUGUAGCUGCAAAGUACACUCUGCAGCAUAGCGUCAUAGUAGUAAAA
Caretta caretta (loggerhead turtle) is the source of this 473-nucleotide long non-coding RNA. RefSeq lists it as uncharacterized. The record is from RefSeq and is a predicted model, not a curated record. Lineage: Eukaryota; Metazoa; Chordata; Testudines; Cheloniidae.